UACAGAGGUCCCAAGCGUUGUUCGGAUUCAUUGGGCGUAAAGGGUGCGUAGGCGGUGCCGUAAGUCGGGUGUGAAAUCCCGGGGCUCAACCCCGGAACUGCACUCGAUACUGCGGUGCUCGAGGACCGGAGAGGAGACUGGAAUUCACGGUGUAGCAGUGAAAUGCGUAGAUAUCGUGAGGAAGGCCAGUGGCGAAGGCGGGUCUCUGGACAGUUCCUGACGCUGAGGCACGAAGGCUGGGGGAGCAAACGGG
RNAcentral lists this ribosomal RNA (253 nucleotides) under uncultured bacterium. RNAcentral describes it as "partial 16S ribosomal RNA". It matches the Rfam family "Bacterial small subunit ribosomal RNA", at positions 524 to 776 of the family's 1533-position model. The record is from RNAcentral.